GCGCCUUCCGCGCGCUCCUGAUCAGUGGGUCCUCCUUUUGUAUCUGCUCUUUUACAACAGCUAUGUCCGAGACUGCACCGGCCGCACAGCCGGCCUCGACAGCUCCCGAGAAGCCGGUGGCUGCUAAGAAAGCGAAGAAACCUUCUAAAGCUUUGGCAGCCACUAAGAAAAAACCCGCGGGCCCUUCUGUGUCCGAGCUUAUCGUGCAGGCCGUGUCCUCUUCCAAAGAGCGCAGUGGGGUGUCGCUAGCAUCCCUCAAGAAGGCGCUGGCGGCCGCCGGCUACGACGUGGAGAAAAACAACAGUCGUAUCAAGCUGGGUCUAAAGAGCCUGGUGAGCAAGGGCACUUUAGUGCAGACCAAGGGCACCGGUGCCUCUGGCUCCUUCAAGCUCAACAAGAAGGCCUCCGUGGAGGCCAAGCCCAGCACCGCGAAAGUCGCGGCUAAGGCCAAGGCAGCGAGCGCUCCCAAGAAGCCAAAGAAGGCUCCGGCGGCUGCUGCAAAGAGAGCAGUGAAGACUCCCAAAAAGGCUAAGAAGCCUGCGCUGGCAAAGAAGUCUUCCAAGAGCCCUAAAAAGCCUAAAGUCGUGAAGCCCAAGAAGGUAGCUAAAAGCCCCGCGAAGGCCAAGGCUGUGAAGCCCAAAGCACCUAAGACCAAGGUGACUAAGCCUAAGUCUGCAAAGCCCAAGAAGGCAGCACCAAAGAAGAAGUGAGCAGUCCAGUUGGAAGAUCCUUCCGCACCAUCGUCCUCCAGGGCCACCUCCUGAGGGAAAGUUGGUAUCAAACUCCCAUUGUAGAGGACAGAAGAAACUAAACCUUCAUGAGGCCAGCUCAUGGCGAGACAAGACCCCCCAAAACUGUGCCUUUGUACAUGCAGGUUAAAUUUAUGCAUCUCGACCAGGAUGUAUUGCUCACCUCUGGCUCACUUCACCACCUAAACCAGCUGCUGCUGAAAUUUAGAAUCUCACUAAAGAAGACUGGAAGGACUUCUAAGGACUUACAAGACUGUAUGUGGGUUUUCCUUCCAUAGUUUUGAAACUAAGAGUUAUAUUUGUUCUCCAUUGUGAACAUAUAUUACUUUUGGAAAGACACAGCAAAAUGUUUGCAUCAGAACUAGAAUUUUUGAAAAGUUAAAUUUACAGAGUGUGGGAUUGCAAUGGAGAAACAAAACUGACCCUUGUCUUUUCAAAGUAAAUUUUACUGAGAGCACUCA
This is an RNA transcript of Cavia porcellus (domestic guinea pig), 1210 nucleotides long. It is a transcript of the gene named H1.1 linker histone, cluster member, with no coding region annotated. NCBI's taxonomy places the organism in Eukaryota, Metazoa, Chordata, Mammalia, Rodentia, Caviidae. The record is from RefSeq and is a predicted model, not a curated record. The transcript is spliced from 3 exons.